AUGCUUGCUUUGGCGGCACAUAUGCGAAAACUGGAAAGAUACAGAGAAGAGAAGCAUGGCCCCUGCCCAAGGAUGGCACGUGAAUUUGUGAAGCAUUCCAUAUNNNN
Ursus americanus (American black bear) is the source of this 107-nucleotide small nuclear RNA. The record is from Ensembl. Lineage: Eukaryota; Metazoa; Chordata; Mammalia; Carnivora; Ursidae.